This 497-nucleotide ribosomal RNA is filed under the name uncultured bacterium. RNAcentral describes it as "partial 16S ribosomal RNA". It matches the Rfam family "Bacterial small subunit ribosomal RNA", at positions 28 to 507 of the family's 1533-position model. The record is from RNAcentral.
GACGAACGCUGGCGGCGUGCUUAAUACAUGCAAGUCGAGCGAACAGACGAGGAGCUUGCUACUCUGACGUUAGCGGCGGACGGGAGAGUAAAAUGUGGAUAACCUACCUAUAAGACUGGGAUAACCUCGGGAAACCGGAGCUAAUACCGGAUAAUAUAUUGAACCGCAUGGUUGAAUAGUGAAAGACGGUUUUGCUGUCACUUAUAGAUGGAUCCGCGCCGCUUUAGCUAGUUGGUAAGGUAACGGCUUACGAAGGCCAUGAUGCGUGGCCGACCGGAGAGCGUGAUGGCCCACACUGUGACUGAGCCGCGGUCCAGGCUCCGACGGGAGGCAGCAGCUGCGAAUCUUCCGCAAUGGGCGAAAGCCUGACCGAUCGACGCCGCCUUGGUGAUGAAGCUCUUCGGGUCGUAAAACUCUCUUAUGAUUGAAGAACGAUUGUGUAAGUAGCUAUGCACGUCUUGACGGUACCUGAUCAAGAAGCCCCGGCUAACUACGUG